ACGCUGGCGGCGUGCUUAAUACAUGCAAGUCAACUUGACUUUAGAUAGCAAUAUCGAAAAGUAGGGUGCGCACGGGUGCGUAACGCGUAGGUAAUCUGCCCUGAGGUCUGACAUAACCCGUCGAAAGGCGGGCUAACAUCAGAUGAUAUAUAAUCACGACAUCGUGGAAAUAUCAAAUCUUCGGAGCCUUGGGAUGAGCCUGCGUCUGAUUAGGUAGUUGGCGGAGUAAUAGCCCACCAAGCCUACGAUCAGUAGCUGGUCUGAGAGGAUGAUCAGCCACACUGGAACUGAGACACGGUCCAGACUCCUACGGGAGGCAGCAGUAAGGAAUAUUGCUCAAUGGGGGAAACCCUGAAGCAGCAACGCCGCGUGAAGGAUGAAAUACUUUUGUAUGUAAACUUCUGUAAGAUGGGAAAAAUAUUCUCCUCGGGAGAAUUGAUUGUACCAUCAGAGCAAGCCCCGGCUAACUACGUG
RNAcentral lists this ribosomal RNA (474 nucleotides) under uncultured bacterium. RNAcentral describes it as "bacterial SSU rRNA". It matches the Rfam family "Bacterial small subunit ribosomal RNA", at positions 33 to 507 of the family's 1533-position model. The record is from RNAcentral.